RNAcentral lists this ribosomal RNA (777 nucleotides) under uncultured Neocallimastigales. RNAcentral's name for it is "partial large subunit ribosomal RNA". It matches the Rfam family "Eukaryotic large subunit ribosomal RNA", at positions 24 to 649 of the family's 3401-position model. The record is from RNAcentral. Lineage: Eukaryota; Fungi; Neocallimastigomycota; Neocallimastigomycetes; Neocallimastigales.
UACGACUACAUAUCAGGCAUAUCAAUAAGCGGAGGAAAAGAAACUAACAAGGAUUCCCUUAGUAACGGCGAGUGAAGCGGGAAGAGCUCAAAUUUGAAAUCUUCAAGGUUCUACCUUGACGAAUUGUAGUUUAAAGAAGUGUUUUCUGUUAGAUGAGUAGCAAAAGUUCCUUGGAAUGGGACAUCAUAGAGGGUGAGAAUCCCGUAUUUGGUUAUUCAUUCUAGCUUUGUGAUACACUUUCAAAGAGUCGGAUUGUUUGGGAAUGCAGUCCAAAAUGGGUGGUAAAUUUCAUCUAAAGCUAAAUAUUGGCGAGAGACCCGAUAGCGAACAAGUACCGUGAGGGAAAGAUGAAAAGAACUUUGAAAAGAGAGUUAAACAGUACGUGAAAUUGUCAAAAGGGAAGCGUUUGACACCAGUGUUGUUUUUCCGAAAAUCAAUUACGAAUGGCUUGAUUUUGUGUUGUAUUGACCUUAUCAGCUUUCUUCACUUUUUUCGAGUCUUUCUUAAUGCACUUUUCGGUUAACAAGUCAACAUCAAUCUCUUUUGUUGUAAAAGAGUAUUCGGAAGGUGGCUUUCCUUUCGGAGAAAGUGUUUAUAGCCCUAUACUUCUACAAUCGGAGAGAUUGAGGUCUGCAGCGUAGAUCCUUCGGGGUUAGAUACACUUGUGCUAAGUUGUAGCUUUUCAUAGACAACUUGUUGACUAUGAUCAGUCAUGUAGGCUUACUCGCUUAGUGCUAUUUUACCUACGCUUAGGAUGUUGAGUAGCGACAUACGCAC